RNAcentral lists this ribosomal RNA (1343 nucleotides) under uncultured bacterium. RNAcentral describes it as "16S ribosomal RNA". It matches the Rfam family "Bacterial small subunit ribosomal RNA", at positions 28 to 1378 of the family's 1533-position model. The record is from RNAcentral.
GACGAACGCUGGCGGCGUGCUUAACACAUGCAAGUCGAACGGAAAGGCCCUGCUUUUGUGGGGUGCUCGAGUGGCGAACGGGUGAGUAACACGUGAGUAACCUGCCCUUGACUUUGGGAUAACUUCAGGAAACUGGGGCUAAUACCGGAUAGGAGCUCCUGCUGCAUGGUGGGGGUUGGAAAGUUUCGGCGGUUGGGGAUGGACUCGCGGCUUAUCAGCUUGUUGGUGGGGUAGUGGCUCACCAAGGCUUUGACGGGUAGCCGGCCUGAGAGGGUGACCGGCCACAUUGGGACUGAGAUACGGCCCAGACUCCUACGGGAGGCAGCAGUGGGGAAUAUUGCACAAUGGGCGGAAGCCUGAUGCAGCAACGCCGCGUGCGGGAUGACGGCCUUCGGGUUGUAAACCGCUUUCGCCUGUGACGAAGCGUGAGUGACGGUAAUGGGUAAAGAAGCACCGGCUAACUACGUGCCAGCAGCCGCGGUGAUACGUAGGGUGCGAGCGUUGUCCGGAUUUAUUGGGCGUAAAGGGCUCGUAGGUGGUUGAUCGCGUCGGAAGUGUAAUCUUGGGGCUUAACCCUGAGCGUGCUUUCGAUACGGGUUGACUUGAGGAAGGUAGGGGAGAAUGGAAUUCCUGGUGGAGCGGUGGAAUGCGCAGAUAUCAGGAGGAACACCAGUGGCGAAGGCGGUUCUCUGGGCCUUUCCUGACGCUGAGGAGCGAAAGCGUGGGGAGCGAACAGGCUUAGAUACCCUGGUAGUCCACGCUGUAAACGGUGGGUACUAGGUGUGGGGUCCAUUCCACGGGUUCCGUGCCGUAGUUAACGCUUUAAGUACCCCGCCUGGGGAGUACGGCCGCAAGGCUAAAACUCAAAGGAAUUGACGGGGCCCCGCACAAGCGGCGGAGCAUGCGGAUUAAUUCGAUGCAACGCGUAGAACCUUACCUGGGUUUGACAUGGAUCGGGAGUGCUCAGAGAUGGGUGUGCCUCUUUUGGGGUCGGUUCACAGGUGGUGCAUGGCUGUCGUCAGCUCGUGUCGUGAGAUGUUGGGUUAAGUCCCGCAACGAGCGCAACCCUUGUUCACUGUUGCCAGCACGUUAUGGUGGGGACUCAGUGGAGACCGCCGGGGUCAACUCGGAGGAAGGUGGGGAUGACGUCAAGUCAUCAUGCCCCUUAUGUCCAGGGCUUCACGCAUGCUACAAUGGCUGGUACAGAGAGUGGCGAGCCUGUGAGGGUGAGCGAAUCUCGGAAAGCCGGUCUCAGUUCGGAUUGGGGUCUGCAACUCGACCUCAUGAAGUCGGAGUCGCUAGUAAUCGCAGAUCAGCAACGCUGCGGUGAAUACGUUCCCGGG